UACGGAGGGUGCAAGCAUUAAUCGGAUUUAUUGGGCGUAAAGGGCGCGUAGGCGGCAGAGAAAGUCAGAUGUGAAAUUCCGGGGCUCAACCUCGGAGCAGCAUCUGAAACUCCUCUACUAGAGGUAAGGCGGGGAAAAUGGAAUUCCACAUGUAGCGGUGAAAUGCGUAGAUAUGUGGAAGAACACCGGUGGCGAAGGCGAUUUUCUAGCCUUUACCUGACGCUGAAGCGCGAAAGCGUGGGGAGCAAACAGG
Molecule: ribosomal RNA, 253 nt
Filed under: uncultured bacterium
Lineage: Bacteria
Also listed under: 1 other name
Description: partial 16S ribosomal RNA
Rfam family: Bacterial small subunit ribosomal RNA
Source: RNAcentral